UUCAUGGAUCGGGCGUUCCGGGGUAUUAAUCCUUCCCUGGCCGUAACCGUACUCUCAAACCUAGAUCUCGAAAAAUGUAGACCAGUUUAAGAUUCUUUCGGCAGGCUUAAAUCUAAUUAAGACUCUGUCGAUUAGAAUCGAGUCAAUAGGUGGCCAAUCACACAUAGUAAAAAAGAUUGGUGGUGACUCCUAAGUUUAGAGUUUUCACUCGUGUCUAGUGGUCGGGUUUUCGGACCCGCACGUUACGACAAUACCUUAUUAUUUUAUGUUGAGUUUAUAAAGAUAAUAGUCUAGUAUAUUUAAAAGAACACCGAUUUUUCAGAAUUGACCACGUGGAGUAUAGAGAAAGAAAGACAAAAGAUGUCGAAGCAAAGAGAGAGGAAGAGCAGGGGGUGCAAAGAGUUCAGGGUUUACCAUGUGGAGAGCAGAUAAAUAGAAAGAAAAGAUGUUGAAGCAAAGAAAGGGGGUGCAAAGGGGUCCGUGUGCAACGCAUAGCUGAUAUUUAGUUAUUUUGAAAGAGCUAGUAAUAUAAUAUACAAAAAAAUUUAAAAUUUUUUAUAUGUUAUGAAAAAGAUUUUAAAAGUUUUAGGGGGGGGGCCAUAAGGAGGCUCCGCCCUUGUGUGGAAGCUUUCCUAGUAGAUGGAGGUUACUGAUUACCGACAGGGGGUGGGGACCGGGAGGAAGUUUUCGGCCAUUUUUGAGUUGGUUUGAUCGAGAGAUGUAGAUAAAGGAACAGAGAGUUCCGAGGAGGAUAAGAAGGAAGGCUAAUUGUCACGACCCGGAACUCCCCAUCGAGCCCGUGACAACCGCCGCGAGGCCUCGACAGACAUUCUUCACCCUGAAUGCCGAUCGAAAUCCCGCAAGGCUUAGCAUCAACUUCCGCAUCUCUCCGGUGAGCAACAAUUAUUAAAUCUCGCAUUUAAAAAAAAUCAUAAGUCAUUUUCAAAUAAGAACAAUAAAAUAUUAUUUUUUGACUCAUAGGGGCAUUUUCGUAAUUUUUCGUCAAAAAUCUCAAAACUUGCUAAAAAUGUAGUAGGUAAGCAGAAAAUAUAUAUUUAAUGAUUUAAAAACAAAAUAAGUAUCUAAAACGUUUAUUUGAAAGUAAAUUGUUAACAACUAGUACUAUUCAAAAAUAAUCAAUAAAAUAUUCUAUUUUCUCAUAAAAUAAAUUUUUAUAAAAAUAUUCGUAAAUAAUUUUUCGUACAUGAAAGUAAAGUAAAAAUUGUAUGAAUAGAAAUACAAAUAACCAAAAUAUAAGUUUUGAUAUGCAAUGACACGUGGGCCCCAAUUGACCAAGAGGAUGUAAGACUGUGAACUCUUACUUUUUAUAAUGCAGUUCCGACCUUAGUUCUCGUCCUACUCGACUAUCUACAAACUGUCCUGAGCCUGAAAAAUGUAUAGAAAGAAGGGGUGAGAUUUUAUAAUCCCAGUGAGUAAACAGAUACCAUCAAAAGUAUCUAAAGCCGAGUAAAUGGAGACAAUUAAAAUAAGUCAUCAUAUUGUAAUUUCAUUACCUUUCAGUUCAUUUCAACCAAAUAAAAUCAAUCCAUAUAAAUCGAGUAAUCAACUUGGCUUAUGAAUUUCUUAAAACUUUGGCUCGUGCCAAAACUCAUACUCAGUGAUACCUUGCGCAGGGCAUUCAACCGAGUCCGCCAAGGCUAUUAAAAUUUCAUAUACACUUAAAAUAUAUUUUUAGUUUGAGAAAAAUACAGUCGUUCCUUGGCGUUGGCUGAGUUCCCCUUCACGUGGUGGUUUAGCGUGAAGUGAACCCUAAGCUUUACCCCAGGAGAUACCCUAUGCGCCUCUCCGUUCGGGGUAAAAAUAUACUGGAGUUUACCGUGCCCCUCUAAUAGGCUGGUCCACGGAACCCCCUCUGC
This 1877-nucleotide long non-coding RNA is filed under the name Theobroma cacao (cacao). RNAcentral's name for it is "long non-coding RNA (TCAC_LNC006483)". Lineage: Eukaryota; Viridiplantae; Streptophyta; Magnoliopsida; Malvales; Malvaceae. The record is from RNAcentral.